RNAcentral lists this unclassified non-coding RNA (275 nucleotides) under uncultured fungus. RNAcentral's name for it is "partial contains small subunit ribosomal RNA, internal transcribed spacer 1, and 5.8S ribosomal RNA". The stretch from base 1 to 73 matches the Rfam family "Eukaryotic small subunit ribosomal RNA", at positions 1759 to 1831 of the family's 1831-position model. Lineage: Eukaryota; Fungi. The record is from RNAcentral.
GCAAACUUGGUCAUUUAGAGGAAGUAAAAGUCGUAACAAGGUUUCCGUAGGUGAACCUGCGGAAGGAUCAUUACCAAAGGAUUCAACGAUACACCGUGAACAGGAGGAGGAGAGUCCUGCGCCGAUUCAUUAGAAUGGGGGGGGUAGUGGACUACUACUACAAUUAAUUAGACUAGUUAUAUAAUUUUAAGCAGAGUCAGUCAUUAUUAUUAUGAAACAAAACAACAACUUUUAGCAACGGAUCUCUAGGUUCUCGCAUCGAUGAAGAACGCAGC